GUCCUAGCUGUAAACGUUGGGUGCUAGGUGUGGGGGAUAUCGACCCCUUCCGUGCCGAAGCUAACGCAUUAAGCACCCCGCCUGGGGAGUACGGCCGCAAGGCUAAAACUCAAAGGAAUUGACGGGGGCCCGCACAAGCGGCGGAGCAUGCGGCUUAAUUCGAUGCGACGCGAAGAACCUUACCUGGGCUUGACAUGCAGGGUGAAACCGGCGAAAGCCGGUGCUCUUCGGAGCCUGCACAGGUGGUGCAUGGCUGUCGU
RNAcentral lists this ribosomal RNA (260 nucleotides) under uncultured bacterium. RNAcentral's name for it is "partial 16S ribosomal RNA". It matches the Rfam family "Bacterial small subunit ribosomal RNA", at positions 793 to 1055 of the family's 1533-position model. The record is from RNAcentral.